CAGAAAUGGCGAGAGUACGCAUCAAGAGGACUAUCGGGGUAAACAUCAUUUGGUUGCAACCAACGAAAUGAAAUUCUGCUUGGAUGCUUCCCCAAAACAAAAGCUUAUUUCUAAGUUCAAGAGAGGUACAUUUACUCCUUGCAGAUGGGAUGCAAAUCAGGUAUGCUUUACUCCAUAUUUCACAUACAAGAUUUGCAUGUGGCCCUUAAUCUCUAGAAAUAAGUAUAGAAGCCUGCAUUGGCCCAAUUUGUAUUUUGUUGAUUGAUAUACAUAGAUUCUAUUGAAAGCUGAUCUAUCCAGUGUUUCAACAUAUGUGAAAGCUGAAUCCAAAUGGGACCAUGGUAAAAAAUUACUCCGGUCUAUGUGUAAUAGCAGAAUCUGCCAAAGAUAGUAUUAGUCCUGGUGGGAUUUGCUCUUGGAUUGCAAAAGGAAGAAGAUAGAGCAAUGCAAGGAUUUACUAGAAGAUUGUGGGAUUGAUGAAGAGUGAGGGUCUCUUGGCCGAAAUUGGUCUAGCACAUUAUAAUAAAGCUUCCAGUUUAGUAUUUCAAUAAACUCUCU
This is a non-coding RNA of Arachis ipaensis, 558 nucleotides long. The record is from RefSeq and is a predicted model, not a curated record. Lineage: Eukaryota; Viridiplantae; Streptophyta; Magnoliopsida; Fabales; Fabaceae.